Molecule: long non-coding RNA, 1370 nt
Organism: Papio anubis (olive baboon)
Lineage: Eukaryota; Metazoa; Chordata; Mammalia; Primates; Cercopithecidae
Source: Ensembl
GAGUGGCACCUUCAAGGAGUCUCGAUCCAUUUCCACUCCCAGAGACAGCAUGCAAAGAGAUGAGGUCUCGCCAAGUUGUCUAGGCUGGUGUCGAACUCUUGGGCCCAAGUGAUCCUCCUGCCUUGGCCUCCCAAAGUGCUGGGAUUACAGACACUGUGUCCCUAGGAUGUUCCUUGUUCAGAAUCCAGCCUCAUCAGCUGUCCCAGAGCCCCACAGAAGCAUCCUGACAUCAUCAAUCCACAAGAGACCGAACGUCUGCAGAGCCCGGAAUGAAUCAGACAAGAGAAAGAGAGACAGGCCUCGGCGUGGAGGAGUCACCUGAACAAGGCCCCGUGCAGCCUGUGGAGCCCAGGACAAGGCAUCCCAUUAAAGACGAGCACCUGCUUCCCGGCAGGCCGGAACUGACGAGGCCUCAAAGAACAAGCUGGAAUCUGUCAGAACCCAAAGAGAACACACUCGGCUACGCGCUGAGCCGAGAGCCACAGCGGGUGUCUGGCGAAGGCACCAGGGUAAGGACCUGCUGAGGGACAAGGUUAGGACACCCUCUGCCCCCUCGAAAAUUUUUUUUUUUUUUUGAGGCGGGUCUGCGCUCUACCAUCGCCAGGCUGGAGUGCAGUGAGUGCGAUCUCGGCUCACUGCAGCCUCUGUCUCCCGGAGUUCCGCGCCAUUUUUCCUGCCUCAGCCUCCCGAGUAGCUGGGACUGAGGCACCUGCCACCAUGUCCGGCUAAUUUUUUUUGUAUUUUUAGUAGAGACUUGAGACCGCAGUGUAAGCCAGGAUGGUCGCAAGUCUCUCCUGACCUCGUGAUCCACCCACCUUGGCCUCCCAAAGUGCUGGGAUUACAGAGUGAGCCACCCCAGCCCGACCACCCCCUCAAAAUUUCUAAGUACAAAGCUGCUGAACAUCUGGGCACCCAGAGCAGGAGCCUCCUGCACACCGAGCGGAGGUGAUGACCAGAGGUGCUGAGGGCAGGAGGACCAAAGCUGAGUCCUGGGCCACUUGGAACAGCCUUGGGACUCAGAGGCAGUCCCUUCACCCUUCUUGGCCUCAGUGUUCUCAACUGUAAGUGGGGAACCCCAGAACAUGCAUCUCCCGGGAGGUUACGCCUCACAGAAGAUGCUCUGCCCGGAUAUCCAGUCCCUCCGUCUGCAGAUAAGGAGGUGGAGGAGGGAGGGAGAUGGACAGGCAGGGGGACAUUUCCAUUUGGCGCCAGGCCUUGUGUUUGACACACACUGUUUCAUUUGAUUUCCUCCCAUGCCUCUGCAAUUUGCACUGGAGAUGAGGGCUCAGUCCCCAGAGACCCCUGUUUCUCCUCACUCACACCUGAGACAGCUUCAGAGAGGUGGGUCUUACCAGGGUCAACAUCCUCAC